GGGCUGGGUUGCUGACUUGGAGCUCUGCUGCGGUGAGCUUUGAGCUAGCGACUCUCUGAGCUCUCUGGCUGUGUAUGUGACUAUAGGCUGCUGUGGUGCAGACCAUAGCCUAUCCACGUUAGCUUCCCUCCACCACUUCCACAACUCAGUCAGCUGGCAGCUGCAGUAAGGCUCCACAGUGUCUCUCUGUGUAGCUGAGGAUUUCCUGCCUCUGCAAGGAUUCUCACUUUUGGGCCAAAGCAGAGAGAAAGAGGGACAGAGAGGAAGAGGGGAGCAAAGAGGAAAGGAGGAGGAAGAGCGACAGUGGGCUGGCAGUGACCUUCGUGGUGUGGUGGCAAAGCAGAGACGGAUCCAUCAGGUGCAUUUUCCUUUUUUGAGGAGCAGUGACAUGGAUACCAGGUGUGGUGACAUCCAGCUCUCUGUGGGUGUGUGUGGGAUGUUGUGCCAGGGCUAA
RNAcentral lists this long non-coding RNA (454 nucleotides) under Mastacembelus armatus (zig-zag eel). Its description in RNAcentral is "lncRNA (ENSMAMG00000028021.1)". The record is from RNAcentral. Lineage: Eukaryota; Metazoa; Chordata; Actinopteri; Synbranchiformes; Mastacembelidae.